AAUGAACGCUGGCGGCGCGCCUAAUACAUGCAAGUCGAGCGAGAAGACGUAGCAAUACGUUUGUAAAGCGGCGAACGGGUGAGGAAUACAUGGGUAACCUACCCUCGAGUGGGGAAUAACUAGCCGAAAGGUUAGCUAAUACCGCGUACGCUUCUUGGACUUCGGUUCAGGGAGGAAAGCGAUGCCGAGGGUAUCGCGCUCUUGGAUGGGCUCAUGUCCUAUCAGCUUGUUGGGAGGUAACGGCUCACCAAGGCUUCGACGGGUAGCUGGUCUGAGAGGACGAUCAGCCACACUGGCACUGCGACACGGGCCAGACUCCUACGGGAGGCAGCAGUAAGGAAUAUUGGACAAUGGGGGCAACCCUGAUCCAGCCAUGCCGCGUGAGUGAAGAAGGCC
This 396-nucleotide ribosomal RNA is filed under the name uncultured bacterium. RNAcentral describes it as "bacterial SSU rRNA". It matches the Rfam family "Bacterial small subunit ribosomal RNA", at positions 29 to 416 of the family's 1533-position model. The record is from RNAcentral.